This 446-nucleotide ribosomal RNA is filed under the name uncultured bacterium. RNAcentral describes it as "partial 16S ribosomal RNA". It matches the Rfam family "Bacterial small subunit ribosomal RNA", at positions 338 to 795 of the family's 1533-position model. The record is from RNAcentral.
CCUACGGGAGGCAGCAGUCGAGAAUCAUUCACAAUGGGGGAAACCCUGAUGGUGCGACGCCGCGUGGGGAAAUGAAGGUCUUCGGAUUGUAAACCCCUGUCAUGUGGGAGCAAAUUAAAAAGAUAGUACCACAAGAGGAAGAGACGGCUAACUAUGUGCCAGCAGCCGCGGUAAUACAGAGGUCUCAAGCGGUGUUCGGAAUCACUGGGCGUAAAGCGUGCGUAGGCUGUUUCGUAAGUCGUGUGUGAAAGGCGCGGGCUCAACCCGCGGACGGCACAUGAUACUGCGAGACUAGAGUAAUGGAGGGGGAACCGGAAUUCUCGGUGUAGCAGUGAAAUGCGGAGAUAUCGAGAGGAACACUCGUGGCGAAGGCGGGUUCCUGGACAUUAACUGACGCUGAGGCACGAAGGCCAGGGGAGCGAAAGGGAUUAGAUACCCUUGUAGUC